AAGAUAAGGCCGCUCGCUGACGCCGCGUUUCCUCUUUCGGCCGCGCUGGUGAACAGGACCCGUCGCCAUGGGCCGUGUGAUCCGUGGACAGAGGAAGGGCGCCGGGUCUGUGUUCCGCGCGCACGUGAAGCACCGUAAAGGCGCCGCGCGCCUGCGCGCCGUGGAUUUCGCUGAGCGGCACGGCUACAUCAAGGGCAUCGUCAAGGUGCGGAACGCUGGCCGGGGCGGGAGGGAAAGGGACGCCCGGCCGGAACGCCGCACUCACGCCGCCUCUGCCCACAGGACAUCAUCCACGACCCGGGCCGCGGCGCGCCCCUCGCCAAGGUGGUCUUCCGGGAUCCGUACCGGUUUAAGAAGCGGACGGAGCUGUUCAUUGCCGCCGAGGGCAUUCACACGGGCCAGUUUGUGUAUUGCGGCAAGAAGGGUUAGCAUCGCGGCGGGGAAGGAAGGUCGGGGUGGGGAGGGGUCUGGGUGUUGCCUGAGGAGUUAACGUCCUAAGCCGAUACGGGAACCUCGCAGGCAGAAGCUUCAGGUGGGGACAUCCGCGUGGCCACACCAGUGGCCACCGGUGGGUGCCGAGAGAGUUGUACCGGGAGGCUGGAUGUCGAAUGCUGUGCUCGCAACUUCGCGGGCUGCCUAGAGCGAGGGGGUUCGCAUUGCUUCUUACUGUGCUGACGGCCUGAUGCUGCUUCCCCUUGCAGCCCAGCUCAACAUUGGCAAUGUGCUCCCUGUGGGCACCAUGCCUGAGGGUACAAUCGUGUGCUGCCUGGAGGAGAAGCCUGGAGACCGUGGCAAGCUGGCCCGGGCAUCAGGCAACUAUGCCACUGUUAUCUCCCAUAACCCUGAGACCAAGAAGACCCGUGUGAAGCUGCCCUCCGGCUCCAAGAAGGUUAUCUCCUCAGCCAACAGAGCUGUGGUUGGUGAGUAUCAGGCAGCAGUUGAAUGCUGAGGGCUGUGGGUGAACAUGCUGUGAGUGCCGGUGGACAGCCAGUGGCUAGACUUGGUCCCUGGAAUUCGAUUACCUGUUGUUCUAAAACUUGGGUUCUGUAAGUUUGAGCUCAUCCUGUAGUCUCAGUUGUCAUCA
This 1084-nucleotide small RNA is filed under the name Pan troglodytes (chimpanzee). RNAcentral describes it as "retained intron". The record is from RNAcentral. Lineage: Eukaryota; Metazoa; Chordata; Mammalia; Primates; Hominidae.